AGAGCGAACGCUGGCGGCAGGCUUAACACAUGCAAGUCGAGCGGGCGUAGCAAUACGUCAGCGGCAGACGGGUGAGUAACGCGUGGGAACGUACCUUUUGGUUCGGAACAACCCAGGGAAACUUGGGCUAAUACCGGAUAAGCCCUUACGGGGAAAGAUUUAUCGCCGAAAGAUCGGCCCGCGUCUGAUUAGCUAGUUGGUGGGGUAAUGGCCCACCAAGGCGACGAUCAGUAGCUGGUCUGAGAGGAUGAUCAGCCACAUUGGGACUGAGACACGGCCCAAACUCCUACGGGAGGCAGCAGUGGGGAAUAUUGGACAAUGGGCGCAAGCCUGAUCCAGCCAUGCCGCGUGAGUGAUGAAGGCCCUAGGGUUGUAAAGCUCUUUUGUGCGGGAAGAUAAUGACGGUACCCGUAGAAUAAGCCCCGGCUAACUUCGCGCCAGCAGCCGC
RNAcentral lists this ribosomal RNA (448 nucleotides) under uncultured bacterium. RNAcentral describes it as "SSU rRNA". It matches the Rfam family "Bacterial small subunit ribosomal RNA", at positions 26 to 518 of the family's 1533-position model. The record is from RNAcentral.